This is a long non-coding RNA of Lates calcarifer (barramundi perch), 1379 nucleotides long. RefSeq lists it as uncharacterized. The transcript is spliced from 4 exons. NCBI's taxonomy places the organism in Eukaryota, Metazoa, Chordata, Actinopteri, Centropomidae. The record is from RefSeq and is a predicted model, not a curated record.
AAUAACAUUACCUGAACGUUUCCUCUCACCUGUAGGGCUGACUGAAGUUGGCUUGACACUGGCUGAUGUUUCCUCCGAUGAACACCGGCGCCAUCAGCAGCACAGGAAUCAGACUGCAAACAGGUGUCACCACUUCAUCCACAACAUCGUCCACGAUCGCUGAGACGUCGUCCACGAUCGCAGAGACAUGGUCCACGAUCAGAGAGACAUUGUUGAGGAUGAGGGAGACAUCGUCCACGAUCAGAGACAUUGUCCACGAUCAGAGAGAGUCUUUGUACAAUGAAGAAGUUCUUUGAGACCAGGACAGAGGCCUCCAGGAUUCAAACUUUAACCAUGAAAUCACCGAGAGAAGAGACAGACGUGAAGACAUUUCCAGAAGGUCUUCAGCUGCUGUCGUCUUCUCCUCCUGCAGAGACAAGAACACGUCUAUUUUUCUUUUCCAAAACUCUCCUUAUUCAUUUUUGUUACCUAAUUACAAUGAUUCAAACAAACCUUUUUACAACUCAGUCAGUAUCAAAUAUUCUAGUCUGUUUUACUAUUGUUACAUUCACAGUAAUGACUAGAAAUACUUCUGAAACUGUUUGUAAAAUAAGAACCUACUGUAAUUAUUACAUAGUUAUUUCUCAGUGAUAAACAUGAAUCAUGAAAUAGACAAAUAGAUAGAGACAGUUUUUACCUUUCCUAAUAUUUCUUCUACUGUUAUUCUACUGAAAUGAAUUUGCUACGUCAUUUCGGUAGACUGCUACAACAGACGACUAUACUAUGACAUUUUUGACCAUUUUUGAUGCCUUACUACACUAUGAUGUUUUCUAUUGCCUUACUAUACUAUGACAUGUGGCUUAAGACAAAGGAACUAUCUUAAAACAGGCCCCUUACCUUUGUUCUCCGCAGACACACAUAUUCAAUCACUCACAUCUCUAUACAGUGUUUGUGGGCAAGGUAAGAUUUUGUUUUUGUCAUUUGAUUUUGCUAUUUUAUUAUUUCAAACUGUGCAAUAUCAGUACUCAGAGUCAGUCUAUUACUAUGUUACGUAGUGCUGUUUAUACUGCUCAUAUUGUUUAUCAUUUUUAUUAUUAUUGUCAGUCAUUUUUCUUCAGUCAUCUUGUUUAUAUCAUGCCUUUCACUGUGGGACUAAUAAAGGAUUAUCUUACUCAAAUAAAGACUUCUGAACUCUGAUUAUUUCACCUGUCUGUUAAAUAUUGUAUGAAAGUGAAUAAUUUUAGCUAGAGGUUAGGGUUAGGUUUAUGGCUUUUAACCAUUUGUAGCUGGAGGUUAGAGUUACAAUUAUUUUAACCACUGGGUUACAGUAACAGGUUAAAGUAACAGAAAACACAACCCUAACCCUGACCCUAACCCCUAACCCUAACCCUAACCCUAAC